RNAcentral lists this ribosomal RNA (299 nucleotides) under uncultured Desulfovibrio sp. RNAcentral's name for it is "partial 16S ribosomal RNA". The stretch from base 59 to 299 matches the Rfam family "Bacterial small subunit ribosomal RNA", at positions 555 to 795 of the family's 1533-position model. Lineage: Bacteria; Pseudomonadati; Thermodesulfobacteriota; Desulfovibrionia; Desulfovibrionales; Desulfovibrionaceae. The record is from RNAcentral.
AAAAUGACGUGCAGGCAGCAGGGGGAAGAGGGAUGGGUGAAGAGGUGAUCGGAAGUGAUGGGAGAAAAGGGGGCUGAGGAUGUGUGGUAAGACAGAUGGGAAAGUCUAUGGGUGAAGAGUGGAGAUGGGUUUGGAACUGCAAGGCUGGAGUAUGGGAGGUGGGGGUGGAAUUAUUGGUGUAGGGGUAAAAUCCGUAGAUAUCAGGAGGAAUAUCGAUGGCGAAGGCGGCCUCCUGGGACAUUACUGACGCUAAGGCGCGAAAGCGUGGGGAGCAAACAGGAUUAGAUACCCGUGUAGUC